GCAGUAGCUCAGGGGUAGAGUGUCUCCUUUGAAUGCAGAAGGUCAUAGGUUCAAACCCAGGCAUCUCCC
This is a non-coding RNA of Podarcis lilfordi (Lilford's wall lizard), 69 nucleotides long. The record is from the annotation of a GenBank genome assembly. Lineage: Eukaryota; Metazoa; Chordata; Lepidosauria; Squamata; Lacertidae.